This 253-nucleotide ribosomal RNA is filed under the name uncultured bacterium. Its description in RNAcentral is "partial 16S ribosomal RNA". It matches the Rfam family "Bacterial small subunit ribosomal RNA", at positions 524 to 776 of the family's 1533-position model. The record is from RNAcentral.
UACGGAGGAUGCAAGCGUUAUCCGGAAUGAUUGGGCGUAAAGCGUCCGCAGGUGGCGAUGUAAGUCUGCUGUUAAAGAGUCUAGCUCAACUAGAUAAGAGCAGUGGAAACUACAUAGCUAGAGUACGUUCGGGGCAGAGGGAAUUCCUGGUGUAGCGGUGAAAUGCGUAGAGAUCAGGAAGAACACCAGUGGCGAAGGCACUCUGCUAGGCCGUAACUGACACUGAGGGACGAAAGCUAGGGGAGCGAAUGGG